GCGGGAGGCAGGAUGCUCGCAGCAGCCCCGGGGACGCGGCGGGAAGCGGCUCUCCCCGACCCUCCCGUCUGACGUGGCCUGUGCACCAGGGGUACGGCCCGGAGCGGGGAUGUGAACAGAAAUGUCACCCCAAGUUCAUUGCAGUGCAUCCAGCAAAGACCUGAACCCCGCACUGCUGGUGUCGCCUCUCUUUAGAAAUUUACAGAUCCUAAGAGAAGGUGAAUGGCCACAGUCUCCCACUGGACUGAAACCUGAACUUCGGACGGAUGCAACUGACGAUGAAACAUCCACAGGGCAGUCUGUUUCUAGCCAGCCCUCACACAAACUAUUCCACACAACCAUUGAAGCCUUGACCUCAGCUGCCACGGAGCCAGAGCCAAGGGGCUCCCGAAGGCGCAGGGCAGACCGUGCCAUUGCCACCGGAGCUGCCCACCGGGGCAGCCCGGCUCCCUGCAGCUGAGCGCUGCCCGCCAUGGCCACUCUGCCCUUGCCCCUGGCGCUCUCCAAGCGUUUGUCAACAGUCUCUGUCAGAGACAGCAAGAACGGACCCUUGAUCUGAGCACAGCCAAGCUUUGCAGCGUGGGGCUGGGGGAGAUGCCAGGGACCUUUCCCUCCCUGCCUGUGCAGAGCGGCGCGCAGCCCUCCCUCCCUCCCUCCCCCUGCACAGCCUGCCGCACUGCUACCGCUCUCCCUGCUGCAGCCGAGGUAUUUUUAUCUCUCCUGAGUCAGAAACCGACGACAAGCACAGUUUGUCACAAGCUUCUGGGUGGAAUUGGUAUGUGCUUUGCAGCUGGAUCUCAGUGUUCCAGUUUAGCUCAGCCCUGCCAAUACAGCUGAGAUUAGUGCUCACUGGGAGCCCCUCUUCUCUUCCCUUGUAUGGCCACCCAUAACCUUCCCGACAGGUUUUAAAAGUCUGCUGGGUUUCAGCAGAGGGUCAUGGUGCAGAGAUUAAGGAUCAAGGUUGGUGCUGCACUAAACACUAAUCUGCAAUACAGCUAAGAACUGAAACACUGAUCUCCUGAUCAUACACGAGAAUGCUGUCAGGUGCUACUGGCUCAUACAGGGGUCUGACUCAGUUCCUGGUUUCAAUGCAGGAGGCUGCUUGAUCCAUCCUAUCUAGAAAUACUUUUCCAAUGACUACUUCAAUCUUGUCUUGCUUUUAACCACUCCUUUCUAAUGCAGGCGAAUGUUCCUCUGGCAUUUUUCUGUCCAUCUUUGCAAGUACAUUAACACUCCAUGGCAACAGAAGAUCAAGAAAACUGAGAUGACGAGUAAGAGAUGAUAAAAACCUGACACUUUAUCUACACAAAGUGUGAAAAUAGCAUGGACUCAGGGGAGCAGCCUCCUUUCCUUUCCCUUCUGCUAAAGUCACUUCAUGGUUUAAUUCCCAAGAACUACAUCAGAUCUAAGUCCUCAUGGAACAAGGUGGACCUACACCUGCCCCAGAGGAGUCAUCCUCUCCAAACAACUUUGAGUGACAACAGGCUCAGGAAGUAAGUCAUGAUUUGUAAAAACAUUUCAUUACGCUCUUCUCUGCAACCCAAAAUUUCUCUUAUUUUUAAGGGGAAAAAAUGCCUCACCAAAGCUUCAUAUUGGAAAUAAAUUCUUUUAAAAUGUAAUUGUUGAAAAUAAAUAAUGCAGUGAUUUUCAACAAUAAAUUUACUAUCAGAAUCAA
Melospiza melodia melodia is the source of this 1675-nucleotide long non-coding RNA. RefSeq lists it as uncharacterized. The record is from RefSeq and is a predicted model, not a curated record. The transcript has 2 exons. Lineage: Eukaryota; Metazoa; Chordata; Aves; Passeriformes; Passerellidae.